Crotalus tigris (Tiger rattlesnake) is the source of this 697-nucleotide long non-coding RNA. RefSeq lists it as uncharacterized. Lineage: Eukaryota; Metazoa; Chordata; Lepidosauria; Squamata; Viperidae. The record is from RefSeq and is a predicted model, not a curated record. The transcript has 3 exons.
AGGUAGCAUUGUCAGUUCUUUCCACACAUUUUUGCAGUGAAGACAGUUCCGCGCAAAGACAAAAUUCCACAAGUAACUAUGAAUAGGAUUAUGGUGGUGAUAAAAUACCAGGGCAAAACAAGGCAAGGCAACAAAAAUACUGAAAGUAAAUAUAAAGGUAAAACCAGAAACUUUUCUUUUUGGUUUAAUGGAAAAAAGACUUGGACAAAAUGAUGGAACUUCAAUGUUAUAUACGCUGACUGCAGCAAGGCUAGUUUAUGCACAAACAUGUAAGGACAUUUCGAUCUCCACAAUGGCGGAAUGGCUUCAAAAGUUGAUGGAGUUAGCAGAGAUGGCUAAAUUGACUCCUUUGAUGAAAGAAAAAGACAUAAGUCCUUUUGUUUCUACUUGGAAACCCUUUCUGGACUUCUGCACUUCUAGGCGGCUGGGCUAGAAGAUCUCCAAGGUCCCUUCCAACUCUGGAAUUCAGCUUCUAAGUGGCUUUUAUGGCCUCCGACAAAUGUCUUUUGGGGGUUUUAUCUUCCAGCCUAUUAUUAAAUGGUAAAUAUAGAAUCUUUCUUCGAACAACAAGAGCAAGUACAACAAAAAGAACAAUUACAAAAACAACAACAAUAACAAGACGCAGAAAGUUCCUUGGGGGAAAGUGGCUCAUCGCUGGUCUUCGCUGCUGGGUCGGAUUCCGCCGUCCAUCGCCGUC